GGGCCUGUAGUAUAACGGUAGAAUACGGCAUUCGCAUUGCCGAGAUAGGAGUUCAAUUCUCCUCAGGUCCA
RNAcentral lists this transfer RNA (71 nucleotides) under Candidatus Campbelliibacteriota bacterium. Its description in RNAcentral is "tRNA-Ala". It matches the Rfam family "tRNA". Rfam says of the family: Transfer RNA (tRNA) molecules are approximately 80 nucleotides in length. Their secondary structure includes four short double-helical elements and three loops (D, anti-codon, and T loops). The record is from RNAcentral. Lineage: Bacteria; Candidatus Campbelliibacteriota.